GCGCCUUCUGAGGGCUCUGAGGGAGAGUCUGCUCCAUGCCUCUCUCCUGGCUUCUGGUGGUUUGCCGGCAAUCUUUGGUGUUCCUUGGCCUGUAGGUGCAUCACCCCAAUCUCUGCUUUCAUGCUCACAUGCUGUCCUCCCUGCCUGUGUCUCUGUGUCCAGGUUUCCCUUUUGUAUAAGUACACCAGUCAUACUGGAUUAAGGCCCAAUCCUAACGACCUCAUUUUCAUUUGAUUACCUUUAAAGACCCUAUUAGCAGUUCUGGAGCCGUCCGUGGGAGGAAGAGUGGAGGAAGAGGAGGCGGAAGAAGGAAGGAGGAAGGGCCGUACCAAGUCACCGGUGAACGUUCCCAGCACGCACAGGACUCCUCCCAGAAACAGACAGGUGGAAGCUGACCACUAAAAGCUGGCUAGAGAGAGCCAGGGCACUCAGGACUUGGGGGAGAGUUGAAGUAUUAUGUUGGCAAAAGACUCUAUGGGUAUCCUCACUUGACUAGAAGAAGGAUUACUUUUUCCUUGGACCCAGGAAUCUGCUGAGGUGUUCACAGCUGCCUGCCUGCCUGCCGUGUCAGAUAGUAGAAGUGGUGUGAUGAUGACCAAGUUGGAUGGUGAAUGGAAGAUUCUCGACACCAGGUACUGCCCAGCCAACAAGACACAGGCUUGUCCCACCGCAGCAGAAAGUUGUUCUGUAGGCCAAUAGCGAGACUGAGAAAUGGCCAGAUGCAAAAGAAACCAGUUCUGACUGCACUCCAGCUCUGCCUACCAAGUCAGGGCCAGGAGGCCCACGAACACUCCCUCAUUGCUGACACUACAGAGCUGAGCUUCACAAAGUGCUCCCUGUUGGCUCUGCAUUUAGACCUCCCACAACUACAGAUAAAACAGAGGGAGACUAACAUGCCUUAGAAACUAAGCAAAUAACUUAAAGGAUAAUAUUUAAACAUGCUCAUAUAUCUAGAUCUUGAUCUUCCUUUAUUCAAUUUCAUGGUCAUGCAAAUAUAACAGCUUGAGAUA
Molecule: long non-coding RNA, 1010 nt
Filed under: Homo sapiens (human)
Lineage: Eukaryota; Metazoa; Chordata; Mammalia; Primates; Hominidae
Description: HSALNT0348030
Source: RNAcentral